GUGCAGCCUCUGGCUCUGCAGACACAUACUAUUAGAGCAUCUGUUCCUGCAGAUCUUUGACUCUCCAUCAGAGAUCCACGAGAGGGAGCAGCUCACUGUGGAUGUUUUUCCAGCUCAGAUGUGUGUUUGAAGGCUGACUGUGUGUUUUGUCUUCCUUGUCGUCUUCCUGCUGUUUUGUCAGCCUCCACUACUCCAGGUGUGGGAGGGGAACCUGUAUUCGCUCUGAUUGCUCCAGUGGCUGCUAUUUUUGGAAGCACUCUGUCUUUUAUCUCCCCUCUUUUUGUCUCUCACGUUUUUCUUCGGUGCUGCAAAGCGACACUAACCGGAAUCAGCUAUAGAAGAAAGGCAGAGAUAAUUCGUGAUCGAAGUCGCUGCUCUUUUCAUCAAAUCGAGGCUGGAAACCUCCUGGAUGAAUCGAAUGGAUUGUCUUUUGUAUUUCUGGUGCCUGUUGCGUCUAAAAGGUCUGACAACAGCAGAGGAAAGAGCAUUUUGUUCUGCCAGAAGCCCAGUGAUGACUCCGUCCACAGCUCCCACAUGGUGCUGUUCAGCACUCAGUCCCUCGCCAGCCUCCUGUUGCUGGUUCUGACUGCUGUCCUGUCCGGUGGCGUCUACCUGUGGAUCCUCAGAUACGUCUGCAUCGGCUGCUGCCAGCCCGUCCCGGUCGGCAUCGAGUCCGAAGCUCUGACUGGGGUGGUGUGAAGUCGCUAGAGUCCGUCUGACCGAGUUAAAGUCAGGCGGACGUUGAACUUUGUUUACAGGCGAAUCUACAAACUUGUGACCUGGCUUUGUCCACUGCAGAGCUCGGACUUUCAUAUCAGAAACGAUGUUCCUGUCAGGCUGAAAUGAGCGACGUCAUGUUUGCUGAAUAGAAGAUGAAUUUAUUUUCCGGUUAGUAACUGGUACUCACAAAGUGGUAACUUUUGCCCCCUUUGGCUGUGCAGAUCCCACGUUAUUUAGCCUGGAGUUAAUGUUUUGCUUUGUUUUUUCAGUGCUGGAAAAGAACCAAGUUAAUAAAUACAGAAAAAUGUCCGUAUGUUGUUGAUGAGCUGAAGACAGACACAACUAUACAGGUUGUUUCAACAGAAAGUCUGCGUUUGGUCACCAUGAACACCGGUAACAACUAGCUUCUGUGUCAACUAAUGAGUUUUUAAUACAUAAGCUCCAAGUAAACACAUCAGUAAACCCAUUAUCACAUGUACAACACCAGUGA
Amphiprion ocellaris (clown anemonefish) is the source of this 1210-nucleotide long non-coding RNA. Lineage: Eukaryota; Metazoa; Chordata; Actinopteri; Pomacentridae. The record is from Ensembl.